Molecule: ribosomal RNA, 466 nt
Filed under: uncultured bacterium
Lineage: Bacteria
Description: bacterial SSU rRNA
Rfam family: Bacterial small subunit ribosomal RNA
Source: RNAcentral
GUUUGAUCCUGGCUCAGGAUGAACGCUAGCUACAGGCUUAACACAUGCAAGUCGAGGGGAAACGAUAUUGAAAGCUUGCUUUCGAUAGGCGUCGACCGGCGCACGGGUGAGUAACGCGUAUCCAACCUGCCCAUAACUAAGGGAUAAUCCGUAGAAAUGCGGUCUAAUACCUUAUGUGAUCCGAGGAAGACAUCUGAUUUGGAUUAAAGAUUUAUCGGUUAUGGAUGGGGAUGCGUCUGAUUAGAUUGUUGGCGGGGCAACGGCCCACCAAGUCUGCGAUCAGUAGGGGUUCUGAGAGGAAGGUCCCCCACAUUGGAACUGAGACACGGUCCAAACUCCUACGGGAGGCAGCAGUGAGGAAUAUUGGUCAAUGGGCGGGAGNNUGAACCAGCCAAGUAGCGUGCAGGAUGACGGCCCUAUGGGUUGUAAACUGCUUUUGUAUGGGGAUAAAUUGCUCCACGUGUGG